This 233-nucleotide ribosomal RNA is filed under the name uncultured bacterium. RNAcentral's name for it is "partial 16S ribosomal RNA". It matches the Rfam family "Bacterial small subunit ribosomal RNA", at positions 100 to 334 of the family's 1533-position model. The record is from RNAcentral.
CGGGACGGGUGAGUAAUGUCUGGGAAACUGCCUGAUGGAGGGGGAUAACUACUGGAAACGGUAGCUAAUACCGCAUAAUGUCUACGGACCAAAGCGGGGGACCUCCGGGCCUCGCGCCAUCAGAUGAACCCAUAUGGGAUUAGCUUGUAGGUAAGGUAAUGGCUUACCUAGGCGACGAUCCCUAGCUGGUCUGAGAGGAUGACCAGCCACACUGGAACUGAGACACGGUCCAG